GACGAACGCUGGCGGCGUGCUUAACACAUGCAAGUCGAACGGAAAGGCCCUGCUUUUGUGGGGUGCUCGAGUGGCGAACGGGUGAGUAACACGUGAGUAACCUGCCCUUGACUUUGGGAUACUUCAGGAAACUGGGGCUAAUACCGGAUAGUAGCUCCUGCUGCAUGGUGGGGGUUGGAAAGUUUCGGCGGUUGGGGAUGGACUCGCGGCUUAUCAGCUUGUUGGGGGGGUAGUGGCUUACCAAGGCUUUGACGGGUAGCCGGCCUGAGAGGGUGACCGGCCACAUUGGGACUGAGAUACGGCCCAGACUCCUACGGGAGGCAGCAGUGGGGAAUAUUGCACAAUGGGCGGAAGCCUGAUGCAGCAACGCCGCGUGCGGGAUGACGGCCUUCGGGUUGUAAACCGCUUUCGCCUGUGACGAAGCGUGAGUGACGGUAAUGGGUAAAGAAGCACCGGCUAACUACGUG
Molecule: ribosomal RNA, 467 nt
Filed under: uncultured bacterium
Lineage: Bacteria
Description: partial 16S ribosomal RNA
Rfam family: Bacterial small subunit ribosomal RNA
Source: RNAcentral